GAUGAACGCUGGCGGCGUGCUUAAUACAUGCAAGUCGAACGAACAGGCGCUGCGCUUGCUCCUCGCUCGUUAGCGGAGGACGUGAGAGACACACGUGGAUCACCUACCUAUCAGACGGGUAAAACUUGGAGACUCGGGAGCAUAUACCGGAUAAUAUAUUGCACCACAGUGUUCAAUAGUAAAAUACGGCUUUGCUGUCACUUAUAGAUGGUUCCGCGCCGCAUUAGCUAGUUGGUAAGGUAAAGGCUUACGAAGGCAACGAUGCGUAGCCGACCUGAGAGGGUGAUCGGCCACACUGGAACUGAGACACGGUCCAGACUCCUACGGGAGGCAGCAGUAGGGAAUCGUCCGCAAUGGGCGAAAGCCUGACGGAGCAACGCCGCGUGAGUGAUGAAGGUCUUCGGAUCGUAAAACUCUGUUAUUAGGGAAGAACAAAUGUGUAAGUAGCUAUGCACGUCUUGACGGUACCUAAUCAGAAAGCCACGGCUAACUACGUG
RNAcentral lists this ribosomal RNA (497 nucleotides) under uncultured bacterium. Its description in RNAcentral is "partial 16S ribosomal RNA". It matches the Rfam family "Bacterial small subunit ribosomal RNA", at positions 28 to 507 of the family's 1533-position model. The record is from RNAcentral.